Molecule: ribosomal RNA, 495 nt
Filed under: uncultured bacterium
Lineage: Bacteria
Description: partial 16S ribosomal RNA
Rfam family: Bacterial small subunit ribosomal RNA
Source: RNAcentral
GAUGAACGCUGGCGGCGUGCCUAACACAUGCAAGUCGAGCGGACAGACGCGGCUUUUGCUCCUCUCACGUUAGCGGCGGACGGGUGAGUCACACGUGUAUAACCUACCUAUAAGACUGGGAUCACUUCGGGAAACCGGAGCUAAUACCGGAUAAUAUAUUGAACCUCAUGGUUCAAUAGUGAAAGACGGUUUUGCUGUCACUUCUCGAUGGAUCCGCGCCGCAUUGGUUAGUUGGUACUGUAACGGCUUACCAAGGCUACGAUGCGUAGCCGACCUGAGAGGGUGAACGGCCACAGUGGGGGUGAGACGCGCUCCGGACUUCGACGAGAGGCAGGAGUAGAGAAGCGUCCGCAAGGGGGGAAAGUGUGACAGUGGAACGACGCGUGAGUGAGGAAGGUCGUGGGAGCGAAAAACUCUUCUGGUUGGGAAGAACAAUUGGGUAAGUAACUAGCGACGUUGAGGCGAUAGAGAAAAAAAGCACCGGGUAACUCCGUG